Molecule: unclassified non-coding RNA, 703 nt
Filed under: Drosophila mojavensis
Lineage: Eukaryota; Metazoa; Arthropoda; Insecta; Diptera; Drosophilidae
Description: GI25751
Source: RNAcentral
ACCUGUUUCAAUCUCAACAAGAUCAGUUUGAGAUACUCUCAAUCAUUUGCAAGGUUUGUCUGUCUAUGUGGAAAGCUUUCCUGGAUGUGUGACGGUUGAAGGGCACUGGAAUAGGAUUCGCUCGGGAAGCCGCCUCACAGAUGUUUCUUUCAAGAAUAUCCACUGCAUGGUCAAGAUCUGCUGCACAUCUAAUUUCAGUGUUGAUUUUAGAAGAUGGCUAUUUAUUGUGUUGACAGCUGGAGCUUCACGAUAAUAAAUAAUUAGUGGAAGAUGAUCGGAACUAAGGUGAUGAGAAUCUUCAAUCUGAAGUAGUUCGCGACGAAUGCCUUUAUAUAUGGCGAAGUCAAUGGCGGAAGGCGAAUGGCGGGGAUUGUAUGGGAAGAGCGUGAGUUUCCCCACCACUGGCUUCGAGCGUUCCAGUCGCCUCCUAUGAUGUAGGCAUCCCCCAAGGAUAAGAACAGUUCAUGGAAAUCACUAUCAGACCAUCUUUGUUGUGGUGGGCAGUAGACGGAGGCAAUGUUAAUGGUUUUACUGGGAAGGAGAUUUAGCGAAACAACAGCACAUUGACAUCGCGCUGUAGGUGGAAUAUGGAGGGCAUAGUGCCUUAUGCUAUUUUUAAUGACAACUGCAACACCACCUCUUCGCCUAUUAGAAGGAUGGUUUGCUGUGUAAGCAGAGUACCCUUGAAUUUUAAUUGAGUCAG